This is a non-coding RNA of Podarcis lilfordi (Lilford's wall lizard), 175 nucleotides long. The record is from the annotation of a GenBank genome assembly. Lineage: Eukaryota; Metazoa; Chordata; Lepidosauria; Squamata; Lacertidae.
ACUGCGCAGAGAGGGAGAGCUGCGCAGCGCCCCUUCAGCAAAGCGGGAGGAGGAACGGAGCCCCUUCUUUGCAGCGCCUCUCCUGCGAAGCUAGAGGAGGAACAGAAGGGGCUUCUUCUGUUUCUCCUCCAGCUUGACUGAAGGGGCGCUGUGCAGCUCUCCCUCUCUGCGCAGC